RNAcentral lists this long non-coding RNA (1082 nucleotides) under Cyanistes caeruleus (blue tit). RNAcentral describes it as "lncRNA (ENSCCEG00000013552.1)". The record is from RNAcentral. Lineage: Eukaryota; Metazoa; Chordata; Aves; Passeriformes; Paridae.
GCAGGGAAGAACUGAGGGGUUGGGGGAGGCAUGCCACAGGGAAGUGCUGGAUGCUGGCCCAGUUUUCCACAGUGCCUUUGCCUGGCUUUCUGCUUCCGUGUUUCUUUUUCUUCUUGGAGCCGUCUACAGGCACAUAGGGAGGACACUCCUCCCGGCCCAAGGAAUUGUGAAUAUGAGACCAAGACGGCCAUCAUGUAGGCUGAGAUGGGGUUUCUGCUCCUCCACGUGCUGUGCAAGGAUGUACCACAGUGCAGGAGGGCCUCCCUGGGAGGGCACAGACCUCCAACUGAUUGAAUUGACACAACUUAGAGCGAAGAACUGUCAGUACUUGGGACUGGAUUUUCAGGUGAUCACAUCUUUAGAGCACAACAGUCCACUUGAGACACUGAUCAGUGUGAGUGUCUGGCCUGGAAUUUAAUAAUACCCAAUUAAAAAUAUAAUUAUAUUAUUCCUUUGAUUAAGUCCAGAUUGAGUCUUUGCAAUUUCAGUAUUUCUGACUUGAAGAAAACGUUAGUAAAAUUAACAUAAUGGUUAUUAUAUAAGAGAAAUAUUCUGUUGUAAUGCUGAACACCAAUUUAGAUAUGGGUAAGCACGUACUUUGGAUGUACUUAUUGGACCUAAUGGUAUCAUAUACAGCAGAAUCUCUCUAAAUCACAUGAGAAAUACUUUCAUGGGACUGCAAGAGUUCCACGUAGAGCAAACAAAUGUGUGCAAAAAUGGUGUUGUAGUAUGUAGGAAAGUAGUUGUUCCAUAUAAUCACUAUAGCCAUUAAAGCUUCUCCAGCAACUUUGCCACUUCAAAUUUUUAUUUAAAGAAAUAGGGGAGUAGUUUAGUCCUCCUUCUGAUGAUAAAGGGUUACAAGCAGCUGUGGUGUUGGUGUCACGUCUCAUACAUUGUCAGCAGACAGUUGCAGUUUCAGUUACAUUUUUCUCCUUUGAUUUGAUUAUGUUCUUCUCCUAAAUUAAAUAAUUAUAAUGUGUGUACUGUGUGGUAAUGGCAGCACCAUCCAUUCCAGGCCUUAAGAAAUAUGCUGUGGGUUCAGGAGAAUUUGUAAGCAAUAAACCUUCUCAUCUUGUUUGUCA